GACGAACGCUGGCGGCGUGCUUAACACAUGCAAGUCGAACGGAAAGGCCCUGCUUUUGUGCGGUGCUCGAGUGGCGAACGGGUGAGUAACACGUGAGUAACCUGCCCUUGACUUUGGGAUAACUUCAGGAAACUGGGGCUAAUACCGGAUAGGAGCUCCUGCUGCAUGGUGGGGGUUGGAAAGUUUCGGCGGUUGGGGGUGGACUCGCGGCUUUCGGCUUGUUGGUGGGGUAGUGGCUUACCAAGGCUUUGCCGGGUAGCCGGCCUGAGAGGGUGACCGGGCACAUUGGGACUGAGAUACGGCCCAGACUCCUACGGGAGGCAGCAGUGGGGAAUAUUGCAGAAUGGGCGGAAGCCUGAUGUAGCAACGCCGCGUGCGGGAUGACGGCCUUCGGGUUGUAAACCGCUUUCGCCUGUGACGAAGCGUGAGUGACGGUAAUGGGUAAAGAAGCACCGGCUAACUACGUG
RNAcentral lists this ribosomal RNA (467 nucleotides) under uncultured bacterium. RNAcentral's name for it is "partial 16S ribosomal RNA". It matches the Rfam family "Bacterial small subunit ribosomal RNA", at positions 28 to 507 of the family's 1533-position model. The record is from RNAcentral.